CGGUGUUCAACUGGCGUGCCCGCGGGACGUCCUGCCGGUGAGCUCAGCCCGCGAGGGCGGCUCAACUUGAAAUCCCAUCGCGGUGCUCUUCAUUGAGUGUCGAGGUGGGCCGGCACGAUUACUUUUGAACAAAUUAGAGUGCUUAAAGCAGGCUAAAAUUUUGCCUGAAUACUGUGUAUAUGGAAUAAUGGAAUAGGACCUCGGUUCUAUUUUGUUGGUUUUCGGAACCCCGAGGUAAUGAUUAAUAGGAACGGAUGGGGGCAUUCGUAUUGCGACGUUAGAGGUGAAAUUCUUGGAUCGUCGCAAGACGGACUAAAGCGAAAGCAUUUGCCAAAAACGCUUUCAUUGAUCAAGAACGAAAGUUAGAGGUUCGAAGGCGAUCAGAUACCGCCCUAGUUCUAACCAUAAACUAUGCCAGCUAGCGAUCCGCCGACGUCCCUCUGAUGACUCGGCGGGCAGCUUCCGGGAAACCAAAGCUUUUGGGUUCCGGGGGAAGUAUGGUUGCAAAGCUGAAACUUAAAGGAAUUGACGGAAGGGCACCACCAGGAGUGGAGCCUGCGGCUUAAUUUGACUCAACACGGGAAACCUCACCAGGCCCAGACACUGGAAGGAUUGACAGAUUGAGAGCUCUUUCUUGAUUCAGUGGGUGGUGGUGCAUGGCCGUUCUUAGUCGGUGGAGCGAUUUGUCAGGUUAAUUCCGAUAACGGACGAGACUCUGACCUGAUAACUAGACGCACUUGCGGCAUCUCAAAGGUCCGCCGGCGGCUGGCUUUGCGCCCGUCGUCGCGCGCGAUUUUUACUGCCGGCGUACAAUAAAUUCUUCUAGAGGGACAAGUGG
RNAcentral lists this ribosomal RNA (838 nucleotides) under uncultured eukaryote. RNAcentral describes it as "SSU rRNA". It matches the Rfam family "Eukaryotic small subunit ribosomal RNA", at positions 635 to 1426 of the family's 1831-position model. The record is from RNAcentral.